AACGAACGCUGGCGGCAGGCCUCAAACAUGCAAGUCUAGGGGGUGCAGCAAUGCAUCACCGGCGGACGGGUGCGUAACGCGUGGGAAUAUACCUUUCGGUUCGGAACAACUGCGGGAAACUGCAGCUAAUACCGAAUGUGCCCUAACGGGGAAAGAUUUAUCGCCAAAGGAUUAGCCCGCGUAGGAUUAGCUAGUUGGUGAGGUAAUGGCUCACCAAGGCUCCGAUCCUUAGCUGCUGAGAGGAAGAUCAGCCACACUGGGACUGAGACACGGCCCAGACUCCUACGGGAGGCAGCAGUUGGGAAUCUUGGACAAUGGGGGAAACCCUGAUCCAGCCAUGCCGCGUGAGUGAUGAAGGCCUU
RNAcentral lists this ribosomal RNA (362 nucleotides) under uncultured bacterium. RNAcentral describes it as "bacterial SSU rRNA". It matches the Rfam family "Bacterial small subunit ribosomal RNA", at positions 29 to 418 of the family's 1533-position model. The record is from RNAcentral.